Hyla sarda is the source of this 680-nucleotide long non-coding RNA. RefSeq lists it as uncharacterized. NCBI's taxonomy places the organism in Eukaryota, Metazoa, Chordata, Amphibia, Anura, Hylidae. The transcript is spliced from 3 exons. The record is from RefSeq and is a predicted model, not a curated record.
AGGUGAUUGAUGCCCGGUGAGAGGGUGAAAGGGACCUAUACCCCCGUCAUCUGCAGGAAAGGAACAAAGAGACAGGUGAUUGAUGCCCGGUGAGAAGGUGAAAGUGAGCUAUACCCCCGUCAGCUGCAGGAAAGGAACCAAGAGACAGUGGACAACCUCCAGACCCUGAAAGACUAGAGUGUCAUGAUUGCCUUUAUGAACCAGAUUCAUAUGUUCAAUGAAUCUAGGGACUCCUUUCCUGGAUCUAAUAGAGUAAACGUGUUCCCUGAAGCGAGUGUUCAUCGCUCGCUUUGUGCUUCCUACAUAGAAUCUCCCACAGGUACAGUUCAUUGCAUAAACCACCCACUGAGUUCUGCAAGUUAUUAACAUUUUAAUAGGAAUUUCUUCUCCUCCUACAAAGGCUGUUUUGCCUGUCUUAAGGUGUGGGCACCAAAUGCAAGAGCCGCACCUGUGGUUACCCACAGGGCCGGCUCCAGUCAACCAAUCUUUCUUUACAGAUUUUGAAGUGAAGUUGCUACUAGUAACGACAUCUUUCAAAUUUUUGCAACGUCUGAAUGUUACCAAUGGUUUCUCAUUCAAAAUUUUACACAAAUCAUUAUCAUUCAUAAUAAGUGGCCAGUUCUUAUGCACAGCAGAUCUGAUGAUUUUCUCAAGGGGGCUAAAUUUAAAUGAAAAAGAAA